This 1267-nucleotide ribosomal RNA is filed under the name Ypthima motschulskyi. RNAcentral describes it as "partial 16S ribosomal RNA". Lineage: Eukaryota; Metazoa; Arthropoda; Insecta; Lepidoptera; Nymphalidae. The record is from RNAcentral.
GGGGAAAAAUUAAUAAAGUAUAAAUAAUAAAAAAAUUUUUAAAAUUAAAAUUAAAUUAAUGGGGGUUAAAGUAUUUUUAAUGGAAAAAAUUAAAAAAUUUAUAGAAAAUUAGUAUUGUAAAAGAAAUUUGAAAAUGAAAAUUAAUUUAAUUUAAAGAAAAUUUAAUUUAUUGUAUCUUGUGUAUCAGAGUUUAUUAAAUAAUUUUUAUUUAUAAAAAAAUCUCGAAUUUAAAAGAGUUAAUUAAUUAAAAAAAUUAAUGUUGAAUAAUUAUUUUAAAUAAUUAAUUGGAAAUUAAAUGUUAAUCGUUUUUAAAUAUAUCUAGUUAUUUUAGAAAAAAAUUUAAUUUUAAAUUUAAAUAAUUUAAAUAAUUUAAUAAUAAAAUUUUUAAAAUUUAAAUUUAAUAUAUUAAGGGAUAAGCUUUAAAUUAAAAAUUUAUAAUAAAAUAAAAUAUGAAUUAAAAUUUUUAAAAUUUAUAUUAUUUAAAAAUUUUAAUUUAUUAUAAAAAAUUUUAAUUAAUAUAAAAUUUAAUAAAAAAAAAUUUAAAUUUAUAUAAAAUAAUAAUUUUAAAUAAUAAUAAAUUAGAAAUAAUGAUUAAAUUAGUAUAAAUAAAAUAUAAAAAUAUAAAUAAAAAUUAAAAUUAAAUUUAAGGAAUUCGGCAAAAAUAAAUAUUCACUUGUUUAUCAAAAACAUGUCUUUUUGUUAAUAAUUUAAAGUCUAAUCUGCCCACUGAUAAAUAUUAAAGGGCUGCAGUAUUUUGACUGUACAAAGGUAGCAUAAUCAAUAGUUUUUUAAUUGAAAACUUGAAUGAAAGAUUUGAUGAAAUAUAAACUGUCUCAUAUAUUAUUAUUAAAAUUUUAUUUUUUAGUUAAAAAGCUAAAAUAAUUUUAAAAGACGAGAAGACCCUAUAGAGUUUUAUAUUUUUAUUUAUUAUAAAAUUAUAUUAAAAUUUAUAUAUAAAAUAAGUAGAAAUAUUAUAUUGGGGUGAUAAAAAAAUAAAAUUAACUUUUUAAAUAUAAAAUAUAAAUAAGUAGAUAAUUGAUCCAUUAUUAAUGAUUAAAAGAAAAAAUUACCUUAGGGAUAACAGCGUAAUAUUUUUUUUUAGUUCAAAUAAAAAAAAAAGUUUGCGACCUCGAUGUUGGAUUAAGAUAAAAUUUAAAUGUAGAAGUUUAAAAUUUUGAUCUGUUCGAUCAUUAAAAUCUUACAUGAUCUGAGUUCAAACCGGUGUAAGCCAGGUUGGUUUCUAUCUUUAAAAAAUAAAAAUAUUUUA